Molecule: long non-coding RNA, 2582 nt
Filed under: Homo sapiens (human)
Lineage: Eukaryota; Metazoa; Chordata; Mammalia; Primates; Hominidae
Description: HSALNT0048348
Source: RNAcentral
AAAAAACAAAAACUAUUUUAUGAUCAAGUUUUCAUAUUUUUAUUAAGCUUUGUUUUGCUUAGAAAAAAACUGAGAUUAAAAUUUUAUUUUUUAAAUUAAAGUUAUUACAUCCAUGUAUCUCUCUGUAUGCACUUUAAAAGUACUUAUUACAUUAAGUUACAGGGUUUUGACUCCUGGGUCUAAAAAGAACACCAAGUCCUGCUAAAUGUUAAACAAUGACAGCAAUUAAAACCCCAUCUUUAGGCCAAGUAGAAGAUGCCUAUCAAAAUAAACUGCAUUCCUGAAACACAGGGCCAGAAAUUAAAGCUAUUCAACUCCCCAAGGCCCAGGGACUAGCAUGGAAGAGGUGGGUGUGUGAGAUUAUAAGGGCUGAUUUUGAGAGAUAAAAUAAGUUCAGUUUCUCUAUAAAUUAAUCAUUAAUGUCAAAGGUACAUUCAUGCAAGACCAGCGUAGGGACCUGUGUCAGAUUAACAAGGUUUUCUUGAAGCAUUAACUGACCCUUAAAAAAAGGCUAUAAGGGUUAUGAAAAGCUUAUGAAAGUUAUAUUUUAUGGUCUAGAUAAAAAUUUAUAGAAUAUAUACAAAAUUUUGAAAAACAAAUUUAAUUGUCUUUAUACUGUUUUUAUUAGAGCUUAUUGAUUGGAAAAUUAAGUCUUCUCUCGCAAAAAAAUGAAGGUUUUUCACCUUUUCUUCUAAAAUCCUUGAGCUAUCACUUUGGUCAAAUGAAUGACUUAUUUUACAAUGACCUGUGAUAUCAAGUGUUUUAAAACUUUGAUAUUUGACAAAGUUUCCAAAAUCAAAUUACAAAUUAUGUCUUUUUCUUAUCUAAUUAAUCCUUUAAGAUAUUAGGUUCCCUAAAGUCCAAAAAUGACAUAAUUUGGCUUACUUGGUAUAAAAAUUAUACAGGAAACAUUGUCACAUAUGAAAUGGUGUUUGGUUUUCUUUAGGCUGUAUUUGUGUAAAUACAUUAUUGGUACAUGUUCCAAAAUCAUGGGCAACUCCUAUAAUUCUGAUAUGACUUAGUGUACAUUAUCAGUAAUAAUUAUAAUUGUUUAAUUAUUGUGUAUCACAGAGGUAACCAAUUUUCUUGUUAAUUGGGUAUUUGACUAUGGCUGUCCUCAAACAUUUUGUCAUCCACAGACAAUCGUUGUCUUGUUUUAGUCCUCCAUAGAAGGUGGUUUUGUAAUCUAAUAUGGAACUCUAACAGGUGUUCUUAAAUGCAGGUUUCUGAUAACUUUGGAGAUUGUGAUAUUAGAAUAGAGAAAAAAACAUUCACGACUCUCGCGGAGAGCUAAAAUGUUCAUGAAUGUCAAGCAAAACAGGAGUUAACUGCAUGAACUGAACUAAUAGAAGACUAAAGUAAUCUUUUUAACUUUUAGCUUAAAAAAUUGCGAUCCUUUGUUUUGUUUUUCGGAGUCAAGAAGACUUUUCUUUUAAGCUAUUUACACCUUUUAACAAUUGAGUAAAGUAUACUCCUAUAAACAAAUUUUAGAGCAUAUGUAUUUCUCUCUACCUGAUUUCUCCAGAAUUUGGAAACUAUUUGUGAGUAUUCUUAACUUAUGACAAUACAGUUAUUUACAUAAGUGCAUAAGAAUCUCUUUUCAUUUAUUACAGGACACAACUGGAGAAGCUGGCUAUUUUGCCAAGGCUUUGACUGGAAUGGUGUGCUUUCCUUUAAGGAAUCAAACUUGACUUAAGAAGUCAAUAAAAGCCCCUUAAAAAACUAGCCUCCUACCUUUGUCUACACAGCCCCUGUACAGGGCUCCUGACCUCUGGUAGAGUCGCUGAAAACUAUGCUGUGCCUUCAUAAAGCCCUGUGAGCUGAAGCAAGACAACUGAAACUUCAGAAUAUAACAGCAACCUAUUUACAUAAAUAAGCCACUUUCAUACCUGCCUACUAAUGUAUGGACUUCAGAGUAAUGGGGCCUAUAUCAAUUUUCCAGGAUUGUUCUUUUGUUUAUUGUGUUUUUCUUUCUUCCUCCCGCUAUUUUCUCUUCACUGGAUGUGAGACUUCACAACCUUUUUAAAAAUAAGAUUUCCUAAUAACUUGGGACCUACCUGUCUAGGAAUAAAGCAUCCUAGCCAUGAGAGAGCAGACAAAACCUGGGACCAGAGAUUUGUUUUCUUCUAAAAUGCUUUCUCCGAAAUAUUUUUAAAAAGAAAAGGGGAGAAAUGUGAAAGGAAAAUAUCUUGGUCCCCCAGAAUCACUAAGCUAAAGAGAAAAUUCAAGCUGGGAACUGUUAGGGCAAACCUGCCUCCCAUUCUAUUCAAAGUCAUCCCUCUUUUGAGAUAAAUGCAUAUCUGAUUGCCUCCUUUGGAAAGGCUAAUAAGAAACUCAAAAGAAUGCAACCAUUUGUCUCUUACCUACCUGUGACCUGGAAGCCCCUGUCUGCUUCAAGUUGUCCUGCUUUUGCUUCAAGUUGUUCUAGCUUUCUGGACAGAACCAAUGUUCAUUUUACCUAUGUUAAUUGAUGUCUCAUAUCUCCCUAAAAUGUAUAAAACCAAGCUGUGUUCUGACCACUUUGGGCACAUGUCAUCAGGACCUCCUGAGGCUGUGUCAUGGGUAUGCGUCCACAACCUUGG